RNAcentral lists this ribosomal RNA (500 nucleotides) under uncultured bacterium. RNAcentral's name for it is "partial 16S ribosomal RNA". It matches the Rfam family "Bacterial small subunit ribosomal RNA", at positions 29 to 523 of the family's 1533-position model. The record is from RNAcentral.
AUUGAACGCUGGCGGCAUGCCUUACACAUGCAAGUCGAACGGCAGCACGGGAGCAAUCCUUGUGGCGAGUGGCGAACGGGUGAGUAAUAUAUCGGAACGUGCCCAGUCGAGGGGGAUAACGCCGCGAAAGCUGUGCUCAUACCACAUACGAUCUACGGAUGAAAGCGGGGGAUCGCAAGAUCCCGCGCGAUUGGAGCGGCCGAUAUCGGAUUAGGUAGUUGGUGGGGUAAAGGCUCACCAAGCCGACGACCUGUAGCUGGUCUGAGAGGACGACCAGCCACACUGGGACUGAGACACGGCCCAGACUCCUACGGGAGGCAGCAGUGGGGAAUUUUGGACAAUGGGGGAAACCCUGAUCCAGCCAUCCCGCGUGUGCGAUGAAGGCCUUCGGGUUGUAAUGCACUUUUGGCAGGAAAGAAACGGCGCGUGCUAAUACCAUGCGCAACUGACGGUACCUACAGAAGAAGCACCGGCUAACUACGUGCCAGCCGCCGCAGUAA